Molecule: ribosomal RNA, 253 nt
Filed under: Sorangiineae bacterium
Lineage: Bacteria; Pseudomonadati; Myxococcota; Myxococcia; Myxococcales
Also listed under: 1 other name
Description: partial 16S ribosomal RNA
Rfam family: Bacterial small subunit ribosomal RNA
Source: RNAcentral
UACGGAGGGUGCAAACGUUGCUCGGAAUUAUUGGGCGUAAAGCGCACGUAGGUGGUCUAUCAAGUCAGGUGUGAAAGCCCUGGGCUCAACCCAGGAAGUGCACUUGAAACUGACAGGCUUGAGUAUGGAAGAGGGUCGCGGAAUUCCCGGUGUAGAGGUGAAAUUCGUAGAUAUCGGGAGGAACACCAGUGGCGAAGGCGGCGACCUGGGCCAAUACUGACACUGAGGUGCGAAAGCGUGGGGAGCAAACAGG